AGAAUUUUUUUUUAUUAUAGAAUAUUAGACUGUAAAUCUAAAGGUCAAGUUCUA
RNAcentral lists this transfer RNA (54 nucleotides) under Philometra sp. HZ-2022. RNAcentral's name for it is "tRNA-Tyr". The record is from RNAcentral. Lineage: Eukaryota; Metazoa; Nematoda; Chromadorea; Rhabditida; Philometridae.